AUAUCUUUCUCGGCCUUUUGGCUAAGAUCAAGUGUAGUAUCUGUUUUUAUUCGUUUAAUAUCUAAUGUGUGGGCCAUGUGCCCACAACGAUAUUAAAUUUAUUGUGGCUUGCCAUUGGGGCCCUUGUGUGCCGCCUAGGCGUUGCACUAUUGCCUAGGUCUAGCGCACCCCAA
Triticum aestivum (bread wheat) is the source of this 173-nucleotide non-coding RNA. The record is from Rfam. Lineage: Eukaryota; Viridiplantae; Streptophyta; Magnoliopsida; Poales; Poaceae.